RNAcentral lists this ribosomal RNA (253 nucleotides) under uncultured bacterium. RNAcentral's name for it is "partial 16S ribosomal RNA". It matches the Rfam family "Bacterial small subunit ribosomal RNA", at positions 524 to 776 of the family's 1533-position model. RNAcentral also lists the same sequence under 1 other name. The record is from RNAcentral.
UACGUAGGGUGCGAGCGUUAAUCGGAAUUACUGGGCGUAAAGCGUGCGCAGGCGGUUUCGUAAGACAGAGGUGAAAUCCCCGGGCUCAACCUGGGAACUGCCUUUGUGACUGCGAAGCUAGAGUACGGCAGAGGGGGGUGGAAUUCCACGUGUAGCAGUGAAAUGCGUAGAGAUGUGGAGGAACACCGAUGGCGAAGGCAGCCCCCUGGGCCGAUACUGACGCUCAUGCACGAAAGCGUGGGUAGCAAACAGG